UAAGAGCUCACCUAGGCGACGAUGUGUAGCCGGUCUGAGAGGAUGAACGGCCACAAUGGAACUGAGACACGGUCCAUACUCCUACGGGAGGCAGCAGUGGGGAAUAUUGCACAAUGGGGGAAACCCUGAUGCAGCAACGCCGCGUGAGUGAAGAAGGUUUUCGGAUUGUAAAGCUCUGUUAGCAGGGAAGAGGAAGGACGGUACCUGCAGAGGAAGCCACGGCUAACUACGUGCCAGCAGCCGCGGUAAUACGUAGGUGGCAAGCGUUGUUCGGAAUAACUGGGCGUAAAGGAUGCGUAGGCGGUUGAGUAAGUUAUGUGUUAAAUAUAUAGGCUUAACCUGUAGAAAGCACAUAAAACUGUUUAACUAGAGUGCAGGAGAGGUAAGUGGAAUUCCUAGUGUAGCGGUGAAAUGCGUAGAGAUUAGGAAGAACACCAGUGGCGAAGGCGACUUACUGGACUGUAACUGACGCUGAGGCAUGAGAGCAUGGGGAGCAAACAGGAUUAGAUACCCUGGUAGUCCAUGCUGUAAACGAUGGGUACUAGGUGUGGGUUGUGAAUAACA
RNAcentral lists this ribosomal RNA (564 nucleotides) under uncultured bacterium. RNAcentral's name for it is "bacterial SSU rRNA". It matches the Rfam family "Bacterial small subunit ribosomal RNA", at positions 258 to 838 of the family's 1533-position model. The record is from RNAcentral.